GAUGAACGCUGGCGGCGUGCCUAAUACAUGCAAGUCGAGCGAACAGACGAGGAGCUUGCUCCUCUGACGUUAGCGGCGGACGGGUGAGUAACACGUGGAUAACCUACCUAUAAGACUGGGAUAACUUCGGGAAACCGGAGCUAAUACCGGAUAAUAUAUUGAACCGCAUGGUUCAAUAGUGAAAGACGGUUUUGCUGUCACUUAUAGAUGGAUCCGCGCCGCAUUAGCUAGUUGGUAAGGUAACGGCUUACCAAGGCAACGAUGCGUAGCCGACCUGAGAGGGGGAUCGGCCACACGGGAGCUGAGACACGGACCAGACUCCUACGGGAGGCAGCAGUAGGGAAUCUGCCGCAAUGGGCGAAAGCCUGACGGAGCGACGCCGAGUGAGUGAUGAAGGUCUUCGGAGCGUAAAACUCUGUUAUUAGGGAAGAACAAAUGUGUAAGUAACUAUGCACGUCUUGACGGUACCUAAUCAGAAAGCAACGGCUAACUACGUG
This 497-nucleotide ribosomal RNA is filed under the name uncultured bacterium. Its description in RNAcentral is "partial 16S ribosomal RNA". It matches the Rfam family "Bacterial small subunit ribosomal RNA", at positions 28 to 507 of the family's 1533-position model. The record is from RNAcentral.